AGGAAAGCAAAAUCAAGUGGCCUUAACCCUACUAUUGGUACAGCACCUAAAAAAGAAGACAUCACCACUUCACACCAAGAAAUGGUCCAAUUAUACCCUGCUACCUGUAUUAGUAAUUGGCAAUUGCAGAAACAUAAAGAAGACUUUGAAAUUAAGAAGUUCCAUCAAAGGUCUCCUCAAGUGAAAGUAACUCAGAUGUAAACACCUGUGGUCUGAAAGCGUUCAUGACAAAAUCUUCAUGAAGUUCAGUGAGGGAGACAACACGACACCAGUAUUACUGCCUUUUUCUUUCAUCUCUUCUGGUCCUUCAAGAAGUGAAAUGGGUGCUGAAGACUAACUGACUGGGGAAUUGAAGAUAGAAUCUCUGCCCAACUCCAAAUGAAACUUUGAUGAUGAUCUGGUGUGAUAUGUGGACUGCCAUGUUGCACCAAACCCACAGCAACCAGGACUCCAUUGUUCCCCAGGGAAACGUAGCCUAUGCGGGAAUGUGAUGGUGUGCUCUGCAAG
This is a long non-coding RNA of Talpa occidentalis (Iberian mole), 507 nucleotides long. RefSeq lists it as uncharacterized. The transcript is spliced from 5 exons. The record is from RefSeq and is a predicted model, not a curated record. Lineage: Eukaryota; Metazoa; Chordata; Mammalia; Eulipotyphla; Talpidae.